RNAcentral lists this transfer RNA (73 nucleotides) under Ovis aries (sheep). It matches the Rfam family "tRNA". From Rfam's summary of the family: Transfer RNA (tRNA) molecules are approximately 80 nucleotides in length. Lineage: Eukaryota; Metazoa; Chordata; Mammalia; Artiodactyla; Bovidae. The record is from Rfam by way of RNAcentral.
UCCCUGGUGGUCCAGUGGUUAAGACUCUGCGUUUCCGCUGCAGAUGGUAUGGGUUCAAUUCCUGGUCAGGGAA